Molecule: microRNA precursor, 165 nt
Filed under: Triticum aestivum (bread wheat)
Lineage: Eukaryota; Viridiplantae; Streptophyta; Magnoliopsida; Poales; Poaceae
Description: MIR2118 microRNA precursor family
Rfam family: MIR2118 microRNA precursor family
Source: Rfam by way of RNAcentral
GCUAGGAAGAGGAAGAAGGAGAAGGACUAAGAGCAGCGGGAAUGAGAACAUAGAGGAAAAGUCUAACUAUUGGUCCACUUCCUGUGUUGAGAUGGAAAUUUAGUUUGAUAUUUCCUGAUGCCUCUCAUUCCUAUCCUUAUGCGCCCCUUCCUCUUCCUUUUCGUU